Dinoponera quadriceps is the source of this 1091-nucleotide long non-coding RNA. RefSeq lists it as uncharacterized. The transcript is spliced from 4 exons. NCBI's taxonomy places the organism in Eukaryota, Metazoa, Arthropoda, Insecta, Hymenoptera, Formicidae. The record is from RefSeq and is a predicted model, not a curated record.
AUAACACGUCUCGUCGUUCAGCCGGUUUCGCGAAGAGGAGACAAUUACGUAUUUAACAGUCGCGUUUUAUCGCAUGUCUCGCGUGUGCGAUACGUAUAUAUCGGGAAAGUUCACUCUUAUCUCGCGAAGCUCGCAAAAUACAUCCAUCGAUGCGCACACUGCGGAAUAAAGGAGCUUGCGGAAAUUAGGUAACGCGUGAUUAAGCGAAACCGUAAUGCUGUAUCUAUAAUACAAGGUGCGGGCGGCUCUUCUUUCGCUUACGAUGUGAAACGAAAAACGGUUAACGGCGGUUUCGUCCAGCAGGUAGCAACGAACGUCUACGCUUCUCUACCUUCAGAAGUGUGUGUGUGUGUGUGUGUGUGUGUGUGUGUGUGUGUGUGUGCGCGUGCAUGCGUGCGUGCAUACGUGCGUGCGUGCGUGCGUGUCGUUCAAAGCACGCACCUGAGCGUGAAGCAAGGGACUCGUGUUGAUGCGGCUUCCACCUGCGCUCAACUCCAGUGAUUUCAGAAAAAUAAAACGAUAAUAAAAUAAGAGGAGGAAGGUAGUUAUGUAGAGAUAAGUGCAGAGAGAUUCUUUGGAGCUACACACGCGAAGCUUACAUCGCAUCUAAUGCACUCUUGUUGUCCUUUGAACUGGCGCGUCGCAUGUCGUCGAUCUAAUCACCGAACUUUCAAGAGGCGGAGAUUGCACGCGGACCGUCGCUUCUACGAUAAUUGCACCUGGUGCAUAUCAAAUGUUAUCGGCAAAAACAUAGGCAGAAACAGGACGUCAAAAGCCACAAGCCUCUUUGUCAGUCGCAGAAACGCCAGACUACGCCUCGAAAUACGCGUAACGAUACAGCUUUUCGGCUGUAUAGCGGCUGAAUAGUAUAGCGUUAACGCUCAUGAGCGUCUAUAACAGUAUCAGUCGAUGGAUGGACCAUCAAGUGUGCAGAAGCAUGGACUCCCCCGCUUGCUACAAUUGUCCAGAUUCAUUCGUAAAUUACUUAAUGAAACGUUUGUGCGGCUCUGAAUCGAUUCGGCCGAUCUUUUGUAUAUAUAUACAUAAAUUUAACGAACCAAGAAUAUCGAUCGCAAUUUUCUUAAUUUAGC